ACAUGGAUGGCGGAGUGCUCUGAGGCGCCAGACUCAAGGUUUCACUUGCCUCGCGGUAGCGGCUGAGCAUUCUGGUACUCGUAAGGGUGCGUGGGUUCAAAUCCCAUUCCGUGCA
Non-coding RNA from Parelaphostrongylus tenuis, 115 nucleotides. NCBI's taxonomy places the organism in Eukaryota, Metazoa, Nematoda, Chromadorea, Rhabditida, Metastrongylidae. The record is from the annotation of a GenBank genome assembly.